RNAcentral lists this unclassified non-coding RNA (335 nucleotides) under uncultured fungus. Its description in RNAcentral is "sequence contains ITS1". The stretch from base 1 to 105 matches the Rfam family "5.8S ribosomal RNA", at positions 50 to 154 of the family's 154-position model. Lineage: Eukaryota; Fungi. The record is from RNAcentral.
GAAAUGCGAUACGUAAUGUGAAUUGCAGAAUUAUGUGAAUCAUCGAAUCUUUGAACGCACAUUGCGCUUUCUAGCUUGCUAGGAAGCAUGCCUGUUUGAGUAUCAGUAUUACCUCUCACUCCUUCUGGGUUUUUCAUACACAGGAAGAGUGGACUUGGGCUUGCCUCGUGCUAGGCUGGCCUAAAAUUCAGAGACCGCAACUUAUUACACGCGACAAGGUGUGUUGGGUAUCUUGUAUACACGGCACUGCGUCACAUCAAUAAGUCUUUGGUGUCUAGGCAGGAAAUACUUUAACUCUUGAUCUCAAAUCAGGCAAGAUUACCCGCUGAACUUAA